AAGCGGUGAUGAUAUUUGCGCACGAGUGGUGAAAAUGGGUCUCCACAAUUUGUCAUCGGGACGAUCAGCAGUGCAUCUGAGCUU
This is a small nucleolar RNA of Ipomoea triloba (trilobed morning glory), 84 nucleotides long. RefSeq annotates it as small nucleolar RNA snoR114. The record is from RefSeq and is a predicted model, not a curated record. The transcript has a single exon. Lineage: Eukaryota; Viridiplantae; Streptophyta; Magnoliopsida; Solanales; Convolvulaceae.